Molecule: small RNA, 463 nt
Filed under: Albotricha albotestacea
Lineage: Eukaryota; Fungi; Ascomycota; Leotiomycetes; Helotiales; Lachnaceae
Description: eukaryotic LSU rRNA
Rfam family: 5.8S ribosomal RNA (bases 146-299)
Source: RNAcentral
UGCCCUUCUGGGUAGAUCUCCACCCUUGUAAAUAUAACUAUCUGUUGCUUUGGCGGAUCGUUCCGGACGUUAAGUCGUCGGAUAGCCGCCAGAGGAUCUUGAAACUCUGAAUUUUAGUGUCGUCUGAGUACUAUAAAAUAGUUAAAACUUUCAACAACGGAUCUCUUGGUUCUGGCAUCGAUGAAGAACGCAGCGAAAUGCGAUAAGUAAUGUGAAUUGCAGAAUUCAGUGAAUCAUCGAAUCUUUGAACGCACAUUGCGCCCCUUGGUAUUCCGGGGGGCAUGCCUGUUCGAGCGUCAUUAUAACCAAUCCAGCCUGGCUGGGUGUUGGGUCUCGCCUUCCCGGCGGGCCUUAAAAUUAGUGGCGGUGCUCUUAGGCUCUACGCGUAGUAAUUUUCUCGCUAUAGGGUCCUAGGAGAUGCUAGCCAACAACCCCUAAUUUCUUAGGUUGACCUCGGAUCAGG